Long non-coding RNA from Syngnathus typhle (broad-nosed pipefish), 257 nucleotides. RefSeq lists it as uncharacterized. NCBI's taxonomy places the organism in Eukaryota, Metazoa, Chordata, Actinopteri, Syngnathiformes, Syngnathidae. The transcript is spliced from 3 exons. The record is from RefSeq and is a predicted model, not a curated record.
CACGCCGGUGCAGCAGGCGGAAGGAAAAGUAGUGCUAGCAUGAGUGCAAGUCGUCAAAUCGGAGCAGAAAAAAAUGAGGAAAAAUAUAAUUAAAGAAUUACUGCCUGCAUGCCCGCAAACCUUCCACCUGUAGAUGUACAGACGAAGUGAUUUGGCAAGUCUUUACGGACGCCCAUCUUCUCCACCAUUGAUUGGGCAGGACGCGAGCGGAGGGCGGAUUCUCUGCCGCUCAUUGGUCAGUACAACUGGGGGAGGGG